CCCGCACAAGCAGCGGAGCGUGUGGUUUAAUUCGAUGCUACACGAAGAACCUUACCAGGGCUUGACAUGCAUGUGGUAGCGAAGCGAAAGCGGAGCGACCCUUCGGGGAGCAUGCACAGGUGCUGCAUGGCUGUCGUCAGCUCGUGUCGUGAGAUGUUCGGUUAAGUCCGCUAACGAGCGCAACCCUCGCCGUGUGUUAUACGUGUCACGCGGGACUGCCAGUCUUAAGCUGGAGGAAGGUGGGGAUGACGUCAAGUCAGCAUGGCCUUUAUGUCCUGGGCUACACACACGCUACAAUGGCCAGUACAAUGGGUAGCGAAGCCGCGAGGCGAAGCCAAUCCUCCAAAGCUGGUCUCAGUUCAGAUUGCAGGCUGCAACCCGCCUGCAUGAAGAUGGAGUUGCUAGUAACCGCAGGUCAGCUAUACUGCGGUGAAUACGUUCCCGGGCCUU
This 450-nucleotide ribosomal RNA is filed under the name uncultured Anaerolinea sp. RNAcentral describes it as "bacterial SSU rRNA". It matches the Rfam family "Bacterial small subunit ribosomal RNA", at positions 920 to 1382 of the family's 1533-position model. The record is from RNAcentral. Lineage: Bacteria; Bacillati; Chloroflexota; Anaerolineae; Anaerolineales; Anaerolineaceae.